AUACGUAGGGGGCGAGCGUUGUCCGGAAUGACUGGGCGUAAAGGGUACGUAGGCGGCUGAGUAAGUCAGAUGUGAAAGGUUAGGGCUUAACCCUAGUGAGCAUUUGAAACUGCUUAGCUUGAGUCGAGGAGAGGAAAGUGGAAUUCCUGGUGUAGCGGUGAAAUGCGUAGAUAUCAGGAGGAAUACCAGUGGCGAAGGCGACUUUCUGGCCUUAGACUGACGCUGAGGUACGAAAGCGUGGGGAGCAAACAGGAUUAGAUACCCUGGUAGUCCACGCUGUAAACGAUGAGUGCUAGGUGUCGGGACGGAAGUUUCGGUGCCGAAGUUAACACAUUAAGCACUCCGCCUGGGGAGUACGGUCGCAAGACUGAA
RNAcentral lists this ribosomal RNA (372 nucleotides) under uncultured bacterium. Its description in RNAcentral is "bacterial SSU rRNA". It matches the Rfam family "Bacterial small subunit ribosomal RNA", at positions 523 to 898 of the family's 1533-position model. The record is from RNAcentral.